Cicer arietinum (chickpea) is the source of this 1463-nucleotide non-coding RNA. Lineage: Eukaryota; Viridiplantae; Streptophyta; Magnoliopsida; Fabales; Fabaceae. The record is from RefSeq and is a predicted model, not a curated record.
UUCCACUUUGCCGCCGCCGCUCAGAGCUCUCCGACCGCCGAUCAGAGCUCUCCGACCGCCACUCAGAGCUCUCCGGCCGCCGCUCAGAGCUCUAUGGCCGCCACUUCAACGUCUCCUUCACAGCUCAUUGAAAUCCCUAACUCUGGUAGUUUAAUCCUUCUUGGGUAAUUGAAACAAAUAAGAAAUGAAACCUUCUAGAGCGAGUGAAGGAUUAUCUGUUAAUGGAGGAAGAGUUUGUUGCUUAUCAAGAGCGGCUAAAACCUCAAGAGGAAAAGGCUGAAGAAGAUAGAUCUAAGGUUGAUGAUUUAAGAGGUUCGCCUAUGAGUGUCGGUAACUUGAAGAACUUAUUGAUGAGAAUCAUGCUAUUGUUUCUUCGUUAGUUGGACCUGAGUAUUAUGUUGGAAUUUUGUCUUUUGUUGAUAAGGAUCAGUUGGAGCCUGGUUGUGCUAUUUUGAUGCAUAAUAAGACAAGUUUUUAUGAUGAGAAAGAUUUGGAGUUAAUUUUGGUUUGGAUAAACCAUCCUGAGAUUAUGAGUCCUUUGGCGAAGUAUCACAGAUCAAAACCAGGCCUGACUGAACGUUUUGAAUUGUUUGUCAACAAACGUGAGCUUUGCAAUGCUUAUACUGAAUUGAAUGACCCUGUAGUACAACGGGAUAGAUUUGCUAAUCAACUCAAGGAUCGGCAAUCAGGUGAUGAUGAAGCAAUGGCCUUGGAUGAAACAUUUUGUACAGCUUUGGAGUAUGGUUUGCCACCAACUGGUGGUUGGGGUUUGGGUAUUGAUCGGUUGACCAUGUUAUUGACUGAUUCACAAAAUAUUAAGGAGGUCCUGCUCUUCCCUGCCAUGAAACCUCAAGAUUGAGCUUUGAACCAAAGCUGUUAGAUAUUGUCUCAAUGAAAUUAUUUACAGGUAUAUGAGAAAUGCAUGAUUAUUAAGAUGGGAGCUCAUUAGUUGUUAUAUCUAACUGUUAAUCCUCCGGUGUUGAGAUUACUCUUAAUGGGUUUUGAUGGCUUGCAAGAUUCUAUACCUUUUAUUUUUCUGUUUUUCUAUUUCUCCGAAAGGACCAAGGAAGCAGCGCGCUACUUCACCUCCUCCGAAAUCACCUUCUCAAGGAUUAUCAUGGUAUCUGGUGCAAUCAAUGAAAUAUUAAGAGUUGUAGAGCUCAUUCUUUCGAAGUUGCUCACUGAGCUUCAUAGCGAGGUUGACAAUGACGUUGAGCCAAAAACAAAAGUGAGACUCAUUGUUCCUAAUGGUUCUUGUGGCGGAAUAAUUGGCAACGAAGGUGCUACCAUCAGGUACAAACCGUAUUCUUUUGUUAAGUUCUAGGUCCUACUUGUUUGCCACAUGCAUGAAAUUAGUAUGGAUCAAGGUAACUUUUGAUACUUAUGCUUUUUUAUUUGUGUUCUCGAAAUAUGUUUUGACUUGAAGAGGUUGUUUCUUAUAUGAAUGCUUGUUCUUUUCCCUA